This 323-nucleotide long non-coding RNA is filed under the name Cyanistes caeruleus (blue tit). Its description in RNAcentral is "lncRNA (ENSCCEG00000016552.1)". The record is from RNAcentral. Lineage: Eukaryota; Metazoa; Chordata; Aves; Passeriformes; Paridae.
CAUAGAUGACCUUUCAGACUGCUGCUCUGUCGGGUGCCCUACAAGUUCCCUGCAUCUCCAGUUUCAAGUAGUCUGAAAGAAUUUCUUGCAGGUUCUCUUAGAAUACUCCUUGGACUUGCUGAAAGGUAACUUAAAGAAUUUUAGUUUUAAACCACAAUAAUUCACAAAGAAUCUUCAGCAUGAGAGAAGAAGCACAGCAGAAUUAUAAACAUAUGAUGGAAGUGAAAGCAAAACUAUUACAUUUGUGAGCAGUGCCAGGUGAGGAGCGGCAGGAAGAGCCCUGAAGAAUUCAGAAUAAUCUCAUCACGGUGAAGCAACGUCCC